AUUAAGAAAAGGAUUAGCAAAACCCUAAUUAGAUAAUUAUGAGUUAAUUGAGGAAUUAUAUUAUUAUAUAAUUCAAUAUAUGUGAAAUUAUAUGAAAUUUAACAUGUUAAAGACCCCGUUGGUGAGCCAGGGGCAUUUUGGUAAUUAUGACCCGAGAAGGGUAAAUUGUUGAGAUUAAUUUAAUUACGUGCUUAAUAUAAUUAUAUUAUUAUAUAGUAUGCCUGUGUUGUCUUUUCAGGUGUGUUCUGACAGGUUGGCGCGGUAUAGUCACACCCGGGAAUUUCGGGCCGAACCGGGUUCGAGCCCGAAAUGUAAAUCGAAUUGAUUAUUUGGCAUUUUAUUUGAUAUGUGAUAAUCUGAAAUUUAAUUUGCAAUAUUUGGGUGUGAAAUGGCAUUUAUGCCCUUGAAAAUGAAUAUGUGUGUGUUAAGCCUUAGGGGCAAAAUGGUCUUUUGACCUUUAUUGAUUUACUUUGAUAAAAAUGGUAUUUUGAGGGAAAACAAAUUAAUUUUCUGGUGAUUGUUUCCUCCUUGGAUGAACCCUUCCCCUCUCUCAAACCCUCUCUUAUUUUCUCUUUGAUUUGGUGAGAAAUUGGUGGGAUUUGAAGCUUAAUCUUGGUGGAUCUUUGUGCUAGCAUUUGAAUUGAAUUUUGAGGAUUACCGGCACCUGAUCAGGAGCACCCGGGGAUUUGGAAUCUCCUUCUAUAGCUGGACAACAGGAAAGGGUAAGGCAUUAGCUGAUCUGCCAUGAGUUUCAGGAGCAGACGAAGAAUGUACAUGUUCACGCCACUUCAGACCAAGCGGGUUAUGGGUCUAACAGUGUUGACUUUUGUAUUCUGUUUUGCCGCUUAGGCCGGCUAGUAAGAAAGAACUUGUAAUAAGUUGUAAAUAUUUUUGGGAUCCCAACUAUUUUGAAAAGUUUAAAUAUAUUACAAGUUUUAUUUUCAGUCUGUUUAAUAUAAAAGUUUAAAUUCUGCGCUAUUUUAAUUAGUAAUCCCGA
Molecule: long non-coding RNA, 997 nt
Organism: Cannabis sativa
Lineage: Eukaryota; Viridiplantae; Streptophyta; Magnoliopsida; Rosales; Cannabaceae
Exons: 3
Source: RefSeq, a predicted model, not a curated record